RNAcentral lists this ribosomal RNA (427 nucleotides) under uncultured bacterium. Its description in RNAcentral is "partial 16S ribosomal RNA". It matches the Rfam family "Bacterial small subunit ribosomal RNA", at positions 355 to 774 of the family's 1533-position model. The record is from RNAcentral. RNAcentral also lists the same sequence under 1 other name.
UAGGGAAUCUUCCACAAUGGACGAAAGUCUGAUGGAGCAAUGCCGCGUGAGCGAAGAAGGUUUUCGGAUCGUAAAGCUCUGUUGUAAGGGAAGAACACGUACGGGAGUAACUGCCCGUACCUUGACGGUACCUUAUUAGAAAGCCACGGCUAACUACGUGCCAGCAGCCGCGGUAAUACGUAGGUGGCAAGCGUUGUCCGGAAUUAUUGGGCGUAAAGCGCGCGCAGGCGGUCCUUUAAGUCUGAUGUGAAAGCCCACGGCUCAACCGUGGAGGGUCAUUGGAAACUGGGGGACUUGAGUACAGAAGAGGAAAGCGGAAUUCCACGUGUAGCGGUGAAAUGCGUAGAGAUGUGGAGGAACACCAGUGGCGAAGGCGGCUUUCUGGUCUGUAACUGACGCUGAGGCGCGAAAGCGUGGGGAGCAAACA